UACGGAGGGAGCAAGCGUUAUCCGGAAUUACUGGGUUUAAAGGGUGCGUAGGCGGUUAAUUAAGUCCGAGGUGAAAGGUAAUUGCUUAACGAUUGAAUUGCCUUUGAUACUGGUUAACUUGAAAGGAGAUGAGGUUGGCGGAAUGUGAUAUGGAGCGGUGAAAUGCGUAGAUAUAUCAUAGAACACCGAUUGCGAAGGCAGCUGACUAAUCUUACUUUUACGCUGAGUCACGAAAGCGUGGGGAGCGAACAGG
This 253-nucleotide ribosomal RNA is filed under the name uncultured bacterium. RNAcentral's name for it is "partial 16S ribosomal RNA". It matches the Rfam family "Bacterial small subunit ribosomal RNA", at positions 524 to 776 of the family's 1533-position model. The record is from RNAcentral.